Long non-coding RNA from Dipodomys spectabilis (banner-tailed kangaroo rat), 684 nucleotides. RefSeq lists it as uncharacterized. NCBI's taxonomy places the organism in Eukaryota, Metazoa, Chordata, Mammalia, Rodentia, Heteromyidae. The record is from RefSeq and is a predicted model, not a curated record. The transcript is spliced from 2 exons.
CUCCGAUCGCGGCAAGACCAGUUCCUCUACUCCUCUGUGGUAUGAUACUUCCCGACAAUGUUCAACCUGCCCCAGGAAUGAAAACGGGUGCUCUUUGUCUCUCGGAAUCUGAUUUCAUGGACAGCUAUGGAAAUAGAUAAAGGAGACCCAGAUAUCUGAGAUGGAAAAAUCUCUAAGCUAUAUGGUGAAUGGAGACAGAGGAGGCGGAAUGCUUUACAGAGAAGAAACCAGCGAUGUAGACCGUUAUCUGUUGGCACAGACUAUUGUUUUUGGAGAAGCCAUCCAAAGAAACUGGAGACAAAGACUUCACUGGGGAGAACACAGAGGACUUGGUGUAAGGAGACAUAUUUUUCAUUCUAUGCCCUUUUGGCAUUUGGUUUUGCCUGUUUUGACCCUACAGAAAUACAACUCAAAGUUAAACAAGAAGAAUGGCAAACAAAGAAACAAGAUGGUGGUGAUAUUUUUGGUUGAGAUGAAUGAGAAAUGGGGGUGACUGGGAGUCCUGGUUUUAUAGCAAAGUGAGCAUUUUGGGGUCUCCCAGGAUGGGGUGACAGGGAUUAAAGGAGAGCAGGAAAAAAUUUUCUGCAUCCUGGAAACCAGCAACUAGCAUGGCAUCUUUCUUUCUGUACCAAAAAUACCCUGUUCAAUCCCAAGGCUAAUAAACAAGUACAUGCCUGUUCCUGA